CCCGUCUUACGGAGAGCCUUGGCACUUCCUAUUAGCCCCAUUGUGUAUCAUCUAGGUUGCAGUUCCAUUAGAAUUCCACUGGAGGUGAUCGCGGGCGAGUGCAGAAUGAAUGGGAGUCUAUGGAGCUAAACGGCUAAAUUUGAUUCCGCAAGUUCAAUAUAGAUUAUAGGCCAAAAGUCGAAUAAACGAGUACUUAUGUCCUUUCGAUUUCUUACAGGUUAGGCCGUUGUUGGCUGGAACACGCUAGCAUUCUGCUAUUAUGUGACGUCAUCACAUUUUUGAAUGGAUUUUUAGAACAGAUAAGUGAACUUAAAAAUGCAAUUUUCCGCUGAGUGUAUUAUCUUAGCCCUCCCUUUUGAAUGCAACUUUCAAAUUACUUGACAAAAAAUUACAUCCUGAGAAAAGUGGAUUUCUGGGGGUGAAACCCCAUAGACUCCCAUUCAUUCUGCACUCGCCUGCGAGCGCCCCCGCAUGGAAAGAGACGUGUUACUACAGCCAGUCCAGUAACCGGAAGUAACCAGACAGUGCCAAUUCUCUUCAAUUAGACAUCCUCUG
Rhinichthys klamathensis goyatoka is the source of this 555-nucleotide long non-coding RNA. RefSeq lists it as uncharacterized. The record is from RefSeq and is a predicted model, not a curated record. The transcript is spliced from 2 exons. Lineage: Eukaryota; Metazoa; Chordata; Actinopteri; Cypriniformes; Leuciscidae.